Molecule: ribosomal RNA, 207 nt
Filed under: uncultured bacterium
Lineage: Bacteria
Description: partial 16S ribosomal RNA
Rfam family: Bacterial small subunit ribosomal RNA
Source: RNAcentral
UGUGUAGGCGGUUCUCUAAGUUUGGUGUGAAAUCUCCCGGCUCAACCGGGAGGGUGCGCCGAAAACUGGAGGACUGGAGUGCGGGAGAGGAGAGUGGAAUUCCUGGUGUAGCGGUGAAAUGCGUAGAUAUCAGGAGGAACACCGGCGGUGUAGACGGCUCUCUGGACCGUAACUGACGCUGAGACACGAAAGCGCGGGGAGCAAACA